Nicotiana attenuata is the source of this 1581-nucleotide RNA transcript. It is a transcript of the gene named mitochondrial substrate carrier family protein B-like, with no coding region annotated. The record is from RefSeq and is a predicted model, not a curated record. Lineage: Eukaryota; Viridiplantae; Streptophyta; Magnoliopsida; Solanales; Solanaceae. The transcript is spliced from 9 exons.
AAAUAAAUUACUAUACUCAGUCACCAGACUGAGUCCCAGCGACGUCGUUCCGUCAAUGUUAAUCUUUGUCCAAACCACGCUAGCAAAACAAUCGACUGAAAACCAAUAGCUCGUUGCAGAAACUGGUAACCUCUCAAAAUUAGAGACCGCUCAAUCCAUUGGGUGCGAAUACGAUGCAGACUGAAGCCAGAGUAGGAGUGGUGGUGGAUGGAGGAGGAAGCGCCGGCGGUGGAGGAUGUGGCCGCGGAGCAGUGGUUGUGGACGGCGGAGCAUCUCGUAAAUUGAUCACGCAGCAGCGCCAGCAGUCUCAGAUCGGGACUGUUCCUCAGCUUCUCGCCGGUGGAGUUGCCGGUGCCGUCAGCAAGACUUGCACUGCGCCCCUUGCUCGCCUUACUAUUCUCUUUCAGGUGCAAGGAAUGCACGCGGAUGCUAGUAGCUUAAAAAAAGCGAGUAUAUGGCAAGAGGCUUCACGUAUUGUACGUGAAGAAGGGUAUCGGGCACUUUGGAAGGGGAAUUUGGUCACAAUUGCUCACCGCCUUCCAUAUUCCUCUAUUAGCUUUUAUGCAUUUGAACGCUACAAGAAUGUGUUGCAGUUGAUUUUGGGAGUGGAAAGCCAAGGAGAGAAUAUAACUGCAGACCUUUGUAUACGACUUGUAGGUGGCGGUUUGUCUGGGAUAACUGCUGCUUCUGUUACAUACCCGUUGGAUCUUGUUAGGACACGUCUUGCAGCUCAGAGAAAUGUAAUAUAUUACAGAGGCAUUUGGCAUGCAUUACAAACCAUCAGUAGGGAAGAAGGGAUAGCCGGCCUUUAUAAAGGAAUGGGUGCUACUUUAUUGGGGGUUGGCCCGAAUUUGGCAAUCAGCUUUUCAGUUUAUGACACUGUGAGAUCUUACUGGCAGUCUCAUAGACCAGAAGACUCAACCGUCCUGGUCAGCCUUGCUUGUGGAAGCCUUUCAGGCGUUGCAUCAUCAACAGAGAAGCAGGUUGAGGUGCUGGCUUCUCACUAAGUAUCUAACUGGACUGACCCUUAGAGCCCGAGCACCUUUAUCUGGCAUAUCGGAAUUUAUUGGCUCCACUAUGGUGGAUAUUUGCACGUGAGCCAUUUGUAUUUGCAGUUAUCAAAAUGUGAGAGGCUUCCUCGUUGAGUAACGUUUCCUUUGGAUCUUGUGAGGCGACGAAUGCAAUUGGAAGGAGCAGGUGGUCGGGCCCGCAUUUAUAAGACUGGUUUGAUUGGUGCAUUCAGUCGUAUUAUCCAGACAGAGGGUCUGCGUGGUUUAUAUAGAGGAAUUUUGCCUGAAUAUUACAAGGUUGUGCCUAGUAUUGGUAUUGUCUUUAUGACAUACGAGAAAAUGAAACAGAUUCUCUCAGAUAUUGACUGAUGUGUUGGCUUGAGAUAUCGGAGAAUAAACUUACAGGUAUAAGGCGCCUCAAGAUCAUAUACCAGAAGUUUGUAAUUCUUUCGAAAUCUGUGAUUGUCGAUGUAACCCACACCAUUCAUGUAUAGAUGGUUAAAAGAAGGCACAAUUGCAGUAGUUAAAGUACAAUUCAAUUUUAUGUAUUGAUAUGAUUCUUCUUGGUGCC